GCUGGGCGUGGUGGCACAUGCCUGUAGUCCUAGCUACUUGAGAGGCUGAAGCAAGAGGAUUGCUUGAGCCCAGGAGUUCUGGGCUGUAGUGUGCUAUGACAAUUGGGUGUCCCACCCUAAGUUUGACAUCGGUACGGUGACCUCUUGAAAGCAGGCAACACCAGGUUACCUAAGGAGGGUAAACUGGCCCAGCUCAGAAACAAAGCAGGUCAAAACUCUCAGGAUGAUCAGCAGCACAACAGCAUCUGUGAAUAGGCACUGCACUCCAGCCUGGGCGAUAUCGUGAAACCCCAUCUCAA
This is an unclassified non-coding RNA of Macaca fascicularis (crab-eating macaque), 299 nucleotides long. It matches the Rfam family "Metazoan signal recognition particle RNA". From Rfam's summary of the family: The signal recognition particle (SRP) is a universally conserved ribonucleoprotein. It is involved in the co-translational targeting of proteins to membranes. The record is from Ensembl. NCBI's taxonomy places the organism in Eukaryota, Metazoa, Chordata, Mammalia, Primates, Cercopithecidae.